UACGUAGGGGGCAAGCGUUGUCCGGAUUUAUUGGGCGUAAAGAGCGUGUAGGCGGCCACACAGGUCAGCUGUGAAAACUCGAGGCUCAACCUCGAGACGUCGGUUGAAACCGUAUGGCUAGAGUCCGGAAGAGGAGAGUGGAAUUCCCGGUGUAGCGGUGAAAUGCGCAGAUAUCGGGAAGAACACCCGUGGCGAAGGCGGCUCUCUGGAACAUUUCUGACGCUGAGGCUCGAAAGCGUGGGGAGCAAACAGG
This 253-nucleotide ribosomal RNA is filed under the name uncultured bacterium. Its description in RNAcentral is "partial 16S ribosomal RNA". It matches the Rfam family "Bacterial small subunit ribosomal RNA", at positions 524 to 776 of the family's 1533-position model. The record is from RNAcentral.